UGAAACCGGGUGACCUAUCCAUGAGCAGGUUGAAGUUGGUGUAAAAGCCAAUGGAGGACCGAACCCACGUUCGUUGCAAUGACCGGGGAUGACUUGUGGAUAGCGGAGAAAUUCCAAUCGAACUCGGAGAUAGCUGGUUCUCCCCGAAAUAGCUUUAGGGCUAGCGUUGGCUUAGAUUACCGGAGGUAAAGCACUGAAUGGGCUAGGGGCCGAUAAGGUUACUGAACCCUAUCAAACUCUGAAUGCCGGAUAAUUGAUGGCCAGCAGUCAGUCUACGUGAGAUAAGUCUCGUGGACAAAAGGGAAACAGCCCAGACCCACAGCUAAGGUCCCAAAGAUACGCUAAGUGGAAAACGAUGUGGAGUUGCGAAAACAACCAGGAUGUUGGCUUAGAAGCAGCCACUCAUUAAAAGAGUGCGUAAUAGCUCACUGGUCGAGUGACCCUGCGCGGAAAAUAUAACGGGGCUAAGCGUCCAACCGAAGCUUGGGAUGUCUAAGGACAUGGUAGGGGAGCGUCGUGUAUAGGGAGAAGCAUGAGCGAGAGCACAUGUGGACAGUACACGAGUGAGAAUGCCGGAAUGAGUAGCGAGAAUUAUGUGGGAAUCAUAAUGGCCGAAAAUCUAAGGUUUCUUGGGGAAGGUUCGUCCGCCCAAGGUAAGCCGGGAGCUAAGGCGAGGCCGAAAGGCGUAGUCGAUGCACAUACGGUUGAAAUUCCGUAGCCGCCGAAAUUGUUAAGCACAGGGACACAUAGAGAUAUCCGAACCCGGGCGUUGGUCGACCCGGGCGCAAGGGACCGAACAUCAGUAGGGAAGUCGGAGAUGCUCUGUGGCGAGAAAAGCUGUGUGUAUUGAUUAGGCGCCCGUACCGCAAACCGACACAGGUAGAUGAGGAGAGAAUCCUAAGGCCAACGGGAGAAGGGUUGUUAAGGAACUCGGCAAAUUGACCCCGUAACUUCGGGAUAAGGGGAGCCUCCUACGGGAGGCCGCAGCGAAUAGGCCCAAGCGACUGUUUACCAAAAACACAGGUCUCUGCUAAAUCGAAAGAUGACGUAUAGGGGCUGACGCCUGCCCGGUGCUGGAAGGUUAAGAGGAGAUGUUAGCCGCAAGGCGAAGCAUUGAAUCGAAGCCCCAGUAAACGGCGGCCGUAACUAUAACGGUCCUAAGGUAGCGAAAUUCCUUGUCAGGUAAGUUCUGACCCGCACGAAUGGCGUAACGACUUGGGCGCUGUCUCAACAGCCCACCCGGCGAAAUUGUUGUACUGGUGAAGAAGCCAGUUACCCGCAACUAGACGGAAAGACCCCAUGGAGCUUUACUGCAGCUUAAUACUGGAAAUCGGUAAAUCAUGUACAGGAUAGGUGGGAGACUUGGAAGCCAGGGCGUCAGCUUUGGUGGAGUCACCCUUGGGAUACCACCCUUGAUUUGCUGGUUUUCUAACCUGCGGCCGUGAAUCCGGUCGGGGGACACUGUUAGGUGGGCAGUUUGACUGGGGCGGUCGCCUCCUAAAAGGUAACGGAGGCGCUCAAAGGUUCGUUCAGCACGGACGGAAACCGUGCAGUGAGUGUAAACGCAUAAACGAGCCUAACUGCGAGACCGACGGGUCGAGCAGUAACGAAAGUUGGAGUUAGUGAUCCGGCGGUAUGCAAGUGGAAGUGCCGUCGCUCAACGGAUAAAAGCUACCCUGGGGAUAACAGGCUGAUCUCCCCCAAGCGUCCACAGCGACGGGGAGGUUUGGCACCUCGAUGUCGGCUCGUCACAUCCUGGGGCUGUAUUCGGUCCCAAGGGUUCGGCUGUUCGCCGAUUAAAGUGGCACGCGAGCUGGGUUCAGA
Molecule: ribosomal RNA, 1824 nt
Filed under: human gut metagenome
Description: bacterial LSU rRNA
Rfam family: Bacterial large subunit ribosomal RNA
Source: RNAcentral